This 1101-nucleotide ribosomal RNA is filed under the name Triticum aestivum (bread wheat). RNAcentral's name for it is "partial small subunit ribosomal RNA". Lineage: Eukaryota; Viridiplantae; Streptophyta; Magnoliopsida; Poales; Poaceae. The record is from RNAcentral.
AUGGCAAAUGAAAUCGGUAUACCUUUUGCUGGAGUGCAGGUCUUGUGUGGUGGGGCUAGUAUUGUGGCCAGUGAAGUAUGGGUACAGUCUGCUGGAAUCGGUCCUAUGUUUUGUGUCACUGGUUGUACAGCCAAUAUAAGUGGGGCGCUGUCUGAUUUCUCCGUCACCACCACGUUUUUCAAGGACUUUGCUAGUGCUCCUUCAGAAGUCUUGUACUCUUAUUUCCAAGUUGCUGAAAUCGAGGAGAAGCAUAGGCAACUCAACUUAGACUUGGAAUUGGCUCAGCAAAAUCUGAAAAAAGCUCAAGACGAGGCCGCUGGUAUGGAAGAGAAAAUGAAGUUGGCUCUGGAGAAGAAAGACUCGGACCUCGCCGCCGCGCAGAAAGCAGCCCAAGACAAAACCGUUCUCGCAGACAAGAAGCUUGCUUCAAUCGGAACGCUUGAAGGAGAGGUGAACAAACUGAAAUCUUGUCUUAAUGAAGCUAACCGUGAAGUGACCAGUCUGAAGAAGGACAAGGUCAUCCUGAAUGAAAAUUUGGAGUCUGCAAUCCGCAAGAGGAAUGACACAGAAGCUUAUCUGAGGACUCUCGCCAAGAAGCUUUAUCUCGCGCUGGAAGAACUCUGCCAAGACUUCGACGAAGAAACUGGAAGGGUCAAGACGGGUCUGGACCCUAUCGCUUCCCCAGUUUGUGAUGAAACUGUGAUGAACAUGCUCCGACUGGAGUCCCGUAUCGCCAGCGCCACAAGCUACCUCGCACGCCUGAAGAAGGUUGUCUCUCGAAUCGACUCAUCACUUUUGCCGGGGGCGAUGCUUCAGAAUGACCUGAAAUCCUUGAUGACUCGACUGAACGAGAUCCCUGACCGAGUGCAGGAAUGGAAGAAAUCCUCUGCCCGGUGCGGUGCUGACGUUGCGCUGUCCUUGGUGCGAGUCCAUUGCAAGGAGGCUCGUGAAGAUAAGAUGGCUGCGAUCAAAGUCGCAAACACCAAAAAGCAUGACUUCCAGUCCUUCAUGGAGACUUUCAUCGCUGCCGCCACUCGGAUUGCUGAUGGGAUCGACCUGGACUCAUUCGUGGAGCCUGCCAGCCCUUCUCCGGCCGAGUGA